UACGUAGGGUGCAAGCGUUAAUCGUAAUUACUGGGCGUAAAGCGUGCGUAGGCGGUUGUGCAAGUCAGAUGUGAAAUCCCCGGGCUUAACCUGGGAACUGCAUUUGUGACUGCAUGGCUAGAGUGUGUCAGAGGGAGGUGGAAUUCCACGUGUAGCAGUGAAAUGCGUAGAUAUGUGGAGGAAUACCGAUGGCGAAGGCAGCCUCCUGGGAUAACACUGACGCUCAUGCACGAAAGCGUGGGGAGCAAACAGG
RNAcentral lists this ribosomal RNA (253 nucleotides) under uncultured bacterium. Its description in RNAcentral is "partial 16S ribosomal RNA". It matches the Rfam family "Bacterial small subunit ribosomal RNA", at positions 524 to 776 of the family's 1533-position model. The record is from RNAcentral.